UACAUGUAUUCCGUUACUCCCCAACACUGCCUACAAGAAAGUACUUCCUAUGGCUAUUGGAUCUCAAGUUAACUAUGUGCUUUUUCAAGGGCUAAAAAGAUACGUAUGUAUGUUCACAAGCUGUGAAAGGUACCUACUUUAGCAAUAUUUGUAGAGCGUCCAUUUACAUUUAUAUUUCUUGAUAAACUAAGCUGCAAAACUGCCACCAGAAGAUCAACACUGGUCUCUGUAAUGUACAAACCACAAGGGUAUGAGUCAGUAUGGUCUCAUUUAAGAAAUUAUCACCCCACUGACAAGCCAUUGUAUCCCUAAAGAUAUAAUAAGGUACUUUAAUUUCUGAGUGUGUAGCAUGUGGCUGUGUUAUCACCUCUCCGCUAAUUGGAGCCAGUGUUUCCUUUGCUUUGGUGAUGUCAGCCUUACAGCAUUGUUUCUGGGAACUUAGGGGGGAAAUUUAUAUUGAAGGAUAAAAGAGUCCAUUUUUCCUCUUUACUUAAUGCGCUUUUUUUUCUAGCACAAGACCUUCGAGGCAAUUCUGACGUUCAUUUGAGACUUGUAUUAUUUAUAACUUUGAUUUAGAUGAAAAACACUGUUGGGGUGCUUUGUCUGGUGAAAAAAAGGUCUCUCUCGCAUCACCGCAGCUCUUAAAAGUCCACCUUGUGGUUUAAGUCAUUGACCCUCCCUCUCCUCUAUUCAUCGUUCAACAAAUGGCGAUGCCCGGAGAGAGGCUUGCCUCUAUUCCCUGCUGCGCUUUCCAUUAGAAGUACUGACACACAAUAGAGCAUUUUUAAGCCGUUGACAUUGCCAUUGUAAUGGACUGGGGUCAUGGCAUUAUAUGUAGGAUGUAAUGCAUAAAACGCUGGUUAAGUACACACUGCUGUUCUUUAUGGCUUUCAAAUUAUAGGGAAAUCUUUUCACCUUUGUUCAAGGUGCUGCUGCGCAGGAGUUCACAUGAAUUCAUUAUCCUCGAGUUAAUCAUGUGACCCCGUGACCCAGCGCACACAGCGCAGGGAUACUCAUUCAUAUAUAGCAGACCCAAGGUUCCAUGGCGACAUUUAUUGGAAAAGCAAUUAAUUGAAAAACACACAGUCAGAGGAACGUCGGCGCUAGUGUCACUGCUGUCACCAAGUGAAUUCACUAUAUGGAUUUCAGACUGCUCUGUGACUAUUUCACACAACGUGAUUUUCACAGGUUGUUUUCAGGAGUUUGACACUUUGACACAGCUUAGCAUAAAGACUAGAAUUGGACCGGUCUGCAAGUGAACUACCGCUUGAAGCUCUGUGCUGGUGCUGGAGACCUUAUUUGGCUAGGAGGAGAGAGCAGAGGAGAGGACGAGCGCGGCAGAUUAAUGAGACUCCAUAAGAGCAGGAAAGGUGAAGAAGAGGCAGACAGAAGUGACGGAGUUUAAAAGGGGCCGAGAUCGUAGAAUAGAAGCAGGAGCUCUGAGACCAGGACUCUCACUCAUGCAACCCACCUCCUCUAAUCACCACCUCACUAGGAGCUCCAUCCAAGCCUGAAUCUUCAUCUUCACCAGCACUAGUGUCCAGACACCAGUGGGUCCUGCUGUAAAUCCUAUCACCGCUGGGACUUCGUAUAGCUGUGAUGCAGUUUGCCUUUCUCUCCAGAGAGCAGUGUUCUUCUGUUGCACAAUUAAGCUCUGUAAGUAGCUCACCCAACAUUGAUUGCGUGUGUACAGACACAUCCAGCUGUUCAUAUUGUUUCCAGAGUCGAGGACCUUCAGGAUGGCUACCAAAGGGUCCAUUACCAACACCUGAAGGUUGCACGUGUGAAAACCGCAGCCGCUCAGCGCUGCAGUUAAAGCAAACCUGGCUGAGUGAUGACAGAGUAUUUGAGGCAGAUGCGAGCCACACAGUGAGAGUCCUCACGCUGACACUCUCCACUCCCUGCUAUCAACCAUCAGACAUGAUUACAGCUCCCGCUUCUUGAUCCAGUGCCUGGCUGA
Long non-coding RNA from Neolamprologus brichardi, 1960 nucleotides. RefSeq lists it as uncharacterized. Lineage: Eukaryota; Metazoa; Chordata; Actinopteri; Cichliformes; Cichlidae. The record is from RefSeq and is a predicted model, not a curated record.